This 339-nucleotide long non-coding RNA is filed under the name Helianthus annuus (common sunflower). Its description in RNAcentral is "sRNA HanXRQr2_Chr08g0358341". Lineage: Eukaryota; Viridiplantae; Streptophyta; Magnoliopsida; Asterales; Asteraceae. The record is from RNAcentral.
UCUGAUCAAGAGCUCUAAGUUGGAACCUUUGUUUCAUACCUGAGCCAUUUUGAUCUAGAUUAGCAUUCGGGGACCCUCCAAGUUCAUGGAACUUCAUAACGUGCCGUUUGAUAUCCCGUGAUCUCUAGCAUUAUCUGGUUAUUACACAAGGAAUUCAAAGCAAUCUCAGGAGCUAUUCCAUAGGAUGAUGAUCAUGACACUAGGGCGGACCUGUGCCUUAGAGACUAAAACUGAAGAUAGACUUAGUUAAUUAUGUUAUAAACUCUUUGUUUUUCUUGUUUAAGACAAUGUAUCACUCUUGUUUAAUAAAUAAAAUGUAACUUUGAUUUCCAUGGUUAU